This 28-nucleotide non-coding RNA is filed under the name Mus musculus (house mouse). The record is from RNAcentral. Lineage: Eukaryota; Metazoa; Chordata; Mammalia; Rodentia; Muridae.
UCAUAGCUAUGGUGAAAGAGAAACCUCA